This 887-nucleotide ribosomal RNA is filed under the name Bacillus subtilis. Its description in RNAcentral is "bacterial SSU rRNA". It matches the Rfam family "Bacterial small subunit ribosomal RNA", at positions 9 to 873 of the family's 1533-position model. The record is from RNAcentral. Lineage: Bacteria; Bacillati; Bacillota; Bacilli; Caryophanales; Bacillaceae.
UUAAAGUUUUGUCAUGGCUCAGGACGAACGCUGGCGGCGUGCCUAAUACAUGCAAGUCGAGCGGACAGAUGGGAGCUUGCUCCCUGAUGUUAGCGGCGGACGGGUGAGUAACACGUGGGUAACCUGCCUGUAAGACUGGGAUAACUCCGGGAAACCGGGGCUAAUACCGGAUGGUUGUUUGAACCGCAUGGUUCAAACAUAAAAGGUGGCUUCGGCUACCACUUACAGAUGGACCCGCGGCGCAUUAGCUAGUUGGUGAGGUAACGGCUCACCAAGGCAACGAUGCGUAGCCGACCUGAGAGGGUGAUCGGCCACACUGGGACUGAGACACGGCCCAGACUCCUACGGGAGGCAGCAGUAGGGAAUCUUCCGCAAUGGACGAAAGUCUGACGGAGCAACGCCGCGUGAGUGAUGAAGGUUUUCGGAUCGUAAAGCUCUGUUGUUAGGGAAGAACAAGUACCGUUCGAAUAGGGCGGUACCUUGACGGUACCUAACCAGAAAGCCACGGCUAACUACGUGCCAGCAGCCGCGGUAAUACGUAGGUGGCAAGCGUUGUCCGGAAUUAUUGGGCGUAAAGGGCUCGCAGGCGGUUUCUUAAGUCUGAUGUGAAAGCCCCCGGCUCAACCGGGGAGGGUCAUUGGAAACUGGGGAACUUGAGUGCAGAAGAGGAGAGUGGAAUUCCACGUGUAGCGGUGAAAUGCGUAGAGAUGUGGAGGAACACCAGUGGCGAAGGCGACUCUCUGGUCUGUAACUGACGCUGAGGAGCGAAAGCGUGGGGAGCGAACAGGAUUAGAUACCCUGGUAGUCCACGCCGUAAACGAUGAGUGCUAAGUGUUAGGGGGUUUCCGCCCCUUAGUGCUGCAGCUAACGCAUUAAGCAUCCGCCCU